CCGCGGUAAGACGUAGGACGCGAGCGUUAUCCGGAUUUACUGGGCGUAAAGCGUCUGUAGGCGGAUGUGUAAGUUGGGCGUGAAAGCUCCGGGCUUAACCCGGAGAGGCCGUUCAAUACUGCAUAACUUGAGGGUGUCAGAGGGGAGCGGAAUUCCCGGUGUAGCGGUAAAAUGCGCAGAGAUCGGGAGGAACACCAGUGGCGGAGGCGGUUCCCUGGGGCACACCUGACGCUGAGAGACGAAAGCUAGGGGAGCGAACAGGAUUAGAGACCCUGGUAGUCCUAGCCCUAAACGAUGAAUGCUAGGUGUGGGAUCGAAUGGUUCCGUGCCGGAGCGAACGCGAUAAGCAUUCCGCCUGGGGAGUACGGCCGCAAGGUUAAAACUCAAACGAAUUGACGGGGCCCCGCACAAGCAGCGGAGCGUGUGGUUUAAUUCGAUGCUACACGAAGAACCUUACCUGGGUUUGACAUGUAGGUGGUAGUGAAUCGAAAGGUGAACGACCCUUCGGGGAGCCUACACAGGUGCUGCAUGGCUGUCGUCAGCUCGUGCCGUGAGGUGUCGGGUUAAGUCCCGUAACGAGCGCAACCCUUGCUCCUAGUUACAAGUGUCUAGGGGGACUGCCGGCAGAAAGCCGGAGGAAGGUGGGGAUGACGUCAAGUCAGCAUGGCCCUUAUAUCCAGGGCUACACACACGCUACAAUGGUCGGUACAAAGGGCAGCGAAACCGCGAGGCGGAGCGAAUCCGAGAAAAGCCGAUCGUAGUUCGGAUAGCAGGCUGCAACCCGCCUGCUUGAAGCUGGAGUUGCUAGUAACCGCGCGUCAGCCAUAGCGCGGUGAAUACGUUCCCGGGGC
This 851-nucleotide ribosomal RNA is filed under the name uncultured Chloroflexota bacterium. Its description in RNAcentral is "bacterial SSU rRNA". It matches the Rfam family "Bacterial small subunit ribosomal RNA", at positions 515 to 1380 of the family's 1533-position model. Lineage: Bacteria; Bacillati; Chloroflexota. The record is from RNAcentral.